CAGCAGCCACGGUAAUACGUAGGUGGCGAGCGUUGUCCGGAAUUAUUGGGCGUAAAGGGAGUGUAGGCGGCCUUUUAAGUCUGAUGUGAAAGCCCACGGCUCAACCGUGGAGGGUCAUUGGAAACUGGGAGACUUGAGUGCAGAAGAGGAGAGCGGAAUUCCAUGUGUAGCGGUGAAAUGCGUAGAUAUAUGGAGGAACACCAGUGGCGAAGGCGGCUCUCUGGUCUGUAACUGACGCUGAGGCUCGAAAGCGUGGGGAGCAAACAGGAUUAGAUACCCGGGUAGUCCCUGUCUCUUAUAC
Molecule: ribosomal RNA, 301 nt
Filed under: uncultured bacterium
Lineage: Bacteria
Description: partial 16S ribosomal RNA
Rfam family: Bacterial small subunit ribosomal RNA
Source: RNAcentral